AACGAACGCUGGCGGCGGCCUAACACAUGCAAGUCGAACGCCCCGCAUGGGGAGUGGCAGACGGGUGAGUAACGCGUGGGAACGUACCCUUUGGUUCGGAACAACUCCGGGAAACUGGAGCUGAUACCGGAUGAGCCCUACCGGGGAAAGAUUUAUCGCCGAAGGAUCGGCCCGCGUCAGAGUACCUAGUUGGUGGGGUAAUGGCCUACCAUGGCGACGAUCCUUAUCUGGUCUGAGAGGAUGAUCACCCACACUGGGACUGAGACACGGCCCAUACUCCUACGGGAGGCAACAGUGGGGAAUAUUGGACAAUGGGCGCAAGCCUGAUCCAGCCAUGCCGCGUGAGUGAUGAAGGCCUUACGGUUGUAAAGCUCUUUCGCCAGGGACGAUUAUGACGGUACCUGGAUAAUAAGCCCCGGCUAACUUCGUGCCAGCCCCCGCGGUAAUACCAAGGGGGCUAGCGUUGUUCGGAAUCACUGGGCGUAAAGCGCAUGCACGCUGAUCGCUAAUUCAGGGGUGAAAGCCCGAGGCUCAACCUCUGAACUGCCUUUGAUACUGGCGAUAUUGAGUCCGAGAGAGGUGAGUGGAACUCCGAGUGUAGAGGUGAAAUUCGUAGAUAUUCGGAAGAACACCAGUGGCGAAAGCGGCUCACUGGCCCGGUACUGACGCUGAGAUGCGAAAGCGUGGGGAGCAAACAGGAUUAGAUACCGUGGUCGUCCACGCCGUAAACGAUGGAUGCUAGCCGUCAGCCAGCGUGCUGGUGGUGGCGCAGCUAACGCAUUAAGCAUCCCGCCUGGGGAGUACGAUCGCAAGAUUAAAACUCAAAGGAAUUGACGGGGGCCCGCACGAGCGGUGGAGCAUGUGGUUUAAUUAGAAGCAACGCGCAGAACCUUACCAGCCCUUGACAUCCCGGUCGCGGAUCCCUGAAAGGGGAUCGUUCAGUUCGGCUGGACCGGUGACAGGUGCUGCAUGGCUGUCGUCAGCUCGUGUCGUGAGAUGUUGGGUUAAGUCCCGCAACGAGCGCAACCCUCGCCCUUAGUUGCCAUCAUUCAGUUGGGCACUCUAAGGGGACUGCCGGUGAUAAGCCGCGAGGAAGGUGGGGAUGACGUCAAGUCCUCAUGGCCCUUACGGGCUGGGCUACACACGUGCUACAAUGGCGGUGACAAUGGGCAGCCAGCCUGCAAAGGUGAGCUAAUCCCAAAAAGCCGUCUCAGUUCGGAUUGGGUUCUGCAACUCGAGCCCAUGAAGUGGAAUCGCUAGUAAUCGUGGAUCAGCACGCCACGGUGAAUACGUUCCCGGGCCUUGCACUCACCGC
Molecule: ribosomal RNA, 1315 nt
Filed under: uncultured bacterium
Lineage: Bacteria
Description: partial 16S ribosomal RNA
Rfam family: Bacterial small subunit ribosomal RNA
Source: RNAcentral